RNAcentral lists this ribosomal RNA (408 nucleotides) under uncultured Cryomorphaceae bacterium. RNAcentral describes it as "bacterial SSU rRNA". It matches the Rfam family "Bacterial small subunit ribosomal RNA", at positions 506 to 916 of the family's 1533-position model. Lineage: Bacteria; Pseudomonadati; Bacteroidota; Flavobacteriia; Flavobacteriales; Cryomorphaceae. The record is from RNAcentral.
UGUCAGCAGCCGCGGUAAUACGGAGGGUGCAAGCGUUAUCCGGAAUCAUUGGGUGUAAAGGGUCCGCAGGCGGGCGUAUAAGUCAGUGGUGAAAUCCUGCAGCUUAACUGCAGAACUGCCAUUGAUACUGUACGUCUUGAAUUCGGUCGAAGUGGGCGGAAUGUGUAGUGUAGCGGUGAAAUGCAUAGAUAUUACACAGAACACCGAUAGCGAAGGCAGCUCACUAGGCCUGGAUUGACGCUCAGGGACGAAAGCGUGGGGAACAAACAGGAUUAGAUACCCUGGUAGUCCACGCUGUAAACGAUGAUUACUCGUUUUCGGCGAUAUACUGUCGGAGACUAAGCGAACGUGAUAAGUAAUCCACCUGGGGAGUACGAUCGCAAGGUUGAAACUCAAAUAAAUUGGCGG